RNAcentral lists this long non-coding RNA (233 nucleotides) under Sorghum bicolor (sorghum). RNAcentral's name for it is "long non-coding RNA (SBIC_LNC002349)". The record is from RNAcentral. Lineage: Eukaryota; Viridiplantae; Streptophyta; Magnoliopsida; Poales; Poaceae.
CCAGGUGUUCAUCAGGUGGUCUCCAGGAAGCUAUGCAGUCGUAGAUGGGCAAGUGCAGGGGAGGACAUGAUGGACUGCUGCUGGUGCUAUGUUCCAUGUUUUUUUUGUAUGUUCGUGCUGAGCACCUGAGCUGCUGCCCGUCCGAUGGCGUUCGUGAGAAUUGGCGCACAGCAGGUGUUCGACGAAUUAUGUCAAAGGUGGUGAACUAACCUGUAUAAAAAAGAAAUAACUCU